CCUACGGGAGGCUGCAGUGAGGAAUAUUGGUCAAUGGACGAGAGUCUGAACCAGCCAAGUAGCGUGAAGGAUGACUGCCCUAUGGGUUGUAAACUUCUUUUAUAUGGGAAUAAAAUGUUCCACGUGUGGGAUUUUGUAUGUACCAUAUGAAUAAGGAUCGGCUAACUCCGGGCCAGCAGCCGCGGUAAUACGGAGGAUCCGAGCGUUAUCCGGAUUUAUUGGGUUUAAAGGGAGCGUAGGUGGAUGGUUAAGUCAGUUGUGAAAGUUUGCGGCUCAACCGUAAAAUUACAGUUGAAACUGGCAGUCUUGAGUACAGUAGAGGUGGGCGGAAUUCGUGGUGUAGCGGUGAAAUGCUUAGAUAUCACGAAGAACUCCGAUUGCGAAGGCAGUUCACUGGACUGCAACUGACACUGAGGCUCGAAAGUGUGGGUAUCAAACAGGAUUAGAUACCCGGGUAGUC
This 460-nucleotide ribosomal RNA is filed under the name uncultured bacterium. RNAcentral's name for it is "partial 16S ribosomal RNA". It matches the Rfam family "Bacterial small subunit ribosomal RNA", at positions 338 to 795 of the family's 1533-position model. The record is from RNAcentral.